UACGUAGGUCCCGAGCGUUGUCCGGAUUUAUUGGGCGUAAAGCGAGCGCAGGUGGUUUAUUAAGUCUGGUGUAAAAGGCAGUGGCUCAACCAUUGUAUGCAUUGGAAACUGGUAGACUUGAGUGCAGGAGAGGAGAGUGGAAUUCCAUGUGUAGCGGUGAAAUGCGUAGAUAUAUGGAGGAACACCGGUGGCGAAAGCGGCUCUCUGGCCUGUAACGGACACUGAGGCUCGAAAGCGUGGGGAGCAAACAGG
This 252-nucleotide ribosomal RNA is filed under the name uncultured bacterium. RNAcentral's name for it is "partial 16S ribosomal RNA". It matches the Rfam family "Bacterial small subunit ribosomal RNA", at positions 524 to 776 of the family's 1533-position model. The record is from RNAcentral.